CCUCUUCAUCUUCCCCCUUCAUCCUCAUCCUCCCCCCCUUUCACCCUCUCCACCCCCCUUCAUCCUUCCCCUCCCUCCUCAUCCUCCCCCCCCCCCCCUCACCCACCCCCCCGGCCCCAUUCCGACCCCGCGGCCAUAAAUCAGAGCUCAGUGGGACGCAGCCAUAUGGGAUCGGCGCGGAGCAACGCCGUCCUGAUGGGUUCCGGCGGCGGAGCGACGCUCCAUCAAAUCCAUGGAGGGGAUGCGAGCCCGGACGAGAGAGUGACCCGAACCCACGGAGCCCUCAGCGGGACCCCCCCCCCAAAUGGAACCCACCCUGGGAUCGCCCCAUGGAGCCCCCGGGACCCUCCGGCGGACCCCCCCCCCCAUCCAUGGAACCUCCCGACGGAUCCCCCCCCCCCCAUGGACCUCUCCCCCCCCCCCCGGGGGGGGCGCACGAGAAGUUUGAGAGGAGCGGCUGCAGAGAGCAAUUCCCAUCCGCGGGAGGAAGGAGAGGCCGAGAGAGGGGGAAGAUUGAAUUGAAGCCCCGGGGCCAUUAACCCGCUGCCCUGGCCCAACUCCAGCUGCAGAAAUUAACGACCCCCAACCCCAAAAGCUCUCCGCUAUCUGAGCAGCCAUUUGGUGUCCUGGCAGCGGCGCGGGGGGAAGGCGAGGCGGUCAGAUAUGACAACAGCCCUGAAAUACGGAGGCACUCCGUUAAUAUAUGGACCGCAUUCCCUGUAAGAAUUAUUUAUUAGGAACUUUUAGUUACUAAGUGGCGCGGUGAUGGAGUGCCCUGGGGGGGGGGGGGGGGUUGGUGGGGGGGGGUCCGGCCCCAUUGCAUUCACACUGCGGUGCAGCGGCCGUCUGGGCGCACUCGAGGAUGACCCAUAAAGCUGUCAGAGCUGCAGUAAAUCAGGGAUGCCUGAGGCUCCAGGAAUUCCCCUCCGACAGCUUUGGGCCAUAUGCUGAGAAAUGGG
This 959-nucleotide long non-coding RNA is filed under the name Gallus gallus (chicken). RNAcentral describes it as "lncRNA (ENSGALG00010025888.1)". Lineage: Eukaryota; Metazoa; Chordata; Aves; Galliformes; Phasianidae. The record is from RNAcentral.